UUUGGUGCAUCACUUUCUAUUUUUUUUCUCCCUCUCUUUUUCAUAGCCAGCCGAUUCUAUACAUGUCACAGAAGAUGACCGUUUUCUUCACAAUCUAAUCAUGGAAGAAGAUGGAAAAGAUAAUUUUACAGCUGUGAUAAUAACUGGCGUUCAGUCUGUACAUGUACAGUUUUUAAAGAAUGAUUAUCAUUUGUGUACUAGGCAGUUAGCGCAUAUCUACCAUUACUACAUCCAUGGCCUAGAGGAAAUGUUUUGAAUAAAAGCAAAAUCAAUUCAUUGGUACACAUUGAGGUACCACCAAUGUUUUGUAACAUGUUCAGAGAUGGAGACAAAGAAGGCUGUUUUUAUUUCAGGGAUAAAGUGAUACCAGAUCGUGUUGGAAAGUAUUGCAUUCAGUUUGCAUUUGUGGCUGAGAAAAACACAACACUUUAUAGUGAGCAGAUAACAGUGGAUGUUAUUCCAAACAAACCUGUGAAGUUGGUUCCACAUCCCUUGCCUCCAACACCAACAGUAUGUAAUGUUAAAGCUUGAAGCUAGUCGUACAUUGGUGAAGAACCUCUGGCUAAAAAUUGUGAUUGCUGAUAUACACACAAAGAGAAUUUAAAAUAUGGCUGGAAGUAACCUGAAUGGCAAAAUCACUGUGAAGAUCAUUUGGCCAUCUGAGGGCAUCACAGAAAUACCUCACUUUGACUCAAAGGAUAAUAUAACUGAGUUUCCAUUUAAAAAUGGAUCUGCUGAAAUCAGUGGCCUCAUCCUUUCUGAAAAUACCCCAGGGAAAGAUAGCACGGAAUAUGAAAUCAUGUUCAGUUUGGUUUCAUCAGCAAUAGAAGCAGAGAAAAUUGAACCAUACUACAUCCCUUUUAUAUUUUACAAUGGUAAUUAUUUUUUAAUAAAUGGAACCUAGGUAAAAUUAUGGAGAAGAUUGCU
Molecule: long non-coding RNA, 927 nt
Organism: Xenopus laevis (African clawed frog)
Lineage: Eukaryota; Metazoa; Chordata; Amphibia; Anura; Pipidae
Exons: 7
Source: RefSeq, a predicted model, not a curated record